Molecule: ribosomal RNA, 254 nt
Filed under: uncultured bacterium
Lineage: Bacteria
Description: partial 16S ribosomal RNA
Rfam family: Bacterial small subunit ribosomal RNA
Source: RNAcentral
CACGUAGGGUGCGAGCGUUGUCCGGAAUUAUUGGGCGUAAAGAGCUCGUAGGCGGUGUGUCGCGUCGGCCGUGAAAACCUGGGGCUUAACUCUGGGCUUGCGGUCGAUACGGGCAUCACUGGAGUUCGGCAGGGGAGACUGGAAUUCCUGGUGUAGCGGUGAAAUGCGUAGAUAUCUGGAGGAAUACCGGUGGCGAAGGCGGCAUCCUGGACCGGCAUUGACGCUGAUGAGCGAAAGCUAGGGGAGCAAACGGG